This 307-nucleotide ribosomal RNA is filed under the name Klebsiella pneumoniae. RNAcentral's name for it is "bacterial SSU rRNA". It matches the Rfam family "Bacterial small subunit ribosomal RNA", at positions 813 to 1120 of the family's 1533-position model. Lineage: Bacteria; Pseudomonadati; Pseudomonadota; Gammaproteobacteria; Enterobacterales; Enterobacteriaceae. The record is from RNAcentral.
CGAUUUGGAGGUUGUGCCCUUGAGGCGUGGCUUCCGGAGCUAACGCGUUAAAUCGACCGCCUGGGGAGUACGGCCGCAAGGUUAAAACUCAAAUGAAUUGACGGGGGCCCGCACAAGCGGUGGAGCAUGUGGUUUAAUUCGAUGCAACGCGAAGAACCUUACCUGGUCUUGACAUCCACAGAACUUUCCAGAGAUGGUUGGUGCCUUCGGGAACUGUGAGACAGGUGCUGCAUGGCUGUCGUCAGCUCGUGUUGUGAAAUGUUGGGUUAAGUCCCGCAACGAGCGCAACCCUUAUCCUUUGUUGCCA